GGCCCUGUAGCCCAAUUGGCAGAGGCAGAGGACUUAAAAUCCUCGUGGUCUGGGUUCGAGUCCCAGCAGGGCCA
This 74-nucleotide transfer RNA is filed under the name Rothia nasimurium. RNAcentral's name for it is "tRNA-Leu". It matches the Rfam family "tRNA". From Rfam's summary of the family: Transfer RNA (tRNA) molecules are approximately 80 nucleotides in length. Lineage: Bacteria; Bacillati; Actinomycetota; Actinomycetes; Micrococcales; Micrococcaceae. The record is from RNAcentral.